This is a non-coding RNA of Oryza nivara, 191 nucleotides long. NCBI's taxonomy places the organism in Eukaryota, Viridiplantae, Streptophyta, Magnoliopsida, Poales, Poaceae. The record is from Rfam.
CCUGGUUUUCAUGCCAACAUUUGAUCGGCCGUUUUAUUUAAAAAAAUUAUAAAAAAAAUAAAAUUACAAGUCACGCAUAAAGUAUUAAUCAUGUUUUAUCAUCUAACAAUAAUGAAAAUACGAAUUAUAAAAAAAAUUCAUAUAAGACGGACAGUUAAAGUUGGACACAAAAUCUUAGGGUUUGUCUUUUU